RNAcentral lists this ribosomal RNA (406 nucleotides) under uncultured bacterium. Its description in RNAcentral is "bacterial SSU rRNA". It matches the Rfam family "Bacterial small subunit ribosomal RNA", at positions 356 to 776 of the family's 1533-position model. The record is from RNAcentral.
GGGGAAUAUUGCACAAUGGGGGAAACCCUGAUGCAGCGACGCCGCGUGAAGGAAGAAGUAUUUCGGUAUGUACACUUCUAUCAGCAGGGAAGAAAGAAAUGACGGUACCUGACUAAGAAGCUCCGGCUAACUACGUGCCAGCAGCCGCGGUAAUACGUAGGGGGCAAGCGUUAUCCGGAUUUACUGGGUGUAAAGGGAGCGUAGACGGUAGUGCAAGUCUGAAGUGAAAGGCGGGGGCCCAACCCCCGGACUGCUUUGGAAACUGUGCUGCUAGAGUGCAGGAGAGGUAAGUGGAAUUCCUAGUGUAGCGGUGAAAUGCGUAGAUAUUAGGAGGAACACCAGUGGCGAAGGCGGCUUACUGGACUGUAACUGACGUUGAGGCUCGAAAGCGUGGGGAGCAAACAGG